UCCUAUGUAUGUACUGUAGAAAAUAUAUACGGAUAUUCAGCCUUAGACGUAAAAUAUUCAGCCUUCUUCAAGGCUCAAACCUUUUGUCCUCUGUCCAAUUUCCCCAUCCUUCCCGUCGAAUCAGAAACCCUAGCUUCACCACGCCGGGAUGACCACAUCCGCCACCGCCGAUGCGACGUCUCCGGUGCGGACCGUGACGGAGGGAGAAACCCCAGCAGCGGCGGAUGUUGGGGCAGCGGUCGAAGAGGGUGAGGAGAUGAAUGUGGGGGCCGCGGCUGCAGAUGAGGAGCAUGGUCAGGUGGAGCUUGAGGAGGAUCCUGACGAGCAGGUGGAGGAUGAGGAGGAAGUGCAAGGGGAUGCAGGGGAGGUGGAGGGUGGGGAUGUGAUGGGGGCGGCGUUGAUCGAGCCCCUGGUGGCGUUGAAGCCCGGGGAGGAGGACGAACCCGAAGAGCUGGAUGAGGAAUCCGAGGAGGCUACGCCUUCGGAAGAGGAGCCCGAGGAGGUGGAAGAGGGCAAGGAGGAAUACGACGAUGUUGAGGAGAAAGGCUUAGUGUGUCGAUCUGCGGCGAACGAUACGAAUGAAGUAUCCAAACAGGAACAUGGUAAAUGUGGCAACACAAAUAAGGAUAAAGUUGCUGAUGAAUUCAGCAAAGUCAGUGAUAGCUGUGGAAGUAAAAGUAAUGAUGCACAGAACUCUGAACUUGCUGGAGGUCUUGAAAUAUUUGUUGACCAAUUGCCUAAAGAUUGUGUUGAGGAAGACAUCGCAAUGGUCUUUUCUCAAUGUGGGGAUGUCAAAUCUGUUAGGAUAAUUAAAAAUUCAUCAUCCGAAAAGAACAAAGAUAUUGCAUUUGUCUGUUAUGCGAGCAUUGAAGCUGCAAAGAAGGCUCUCGUUGAAUUUAAGGAGGGAAUUGAGGUUAAAGGAGAAAAGGUCAGGGUAUCUGCUUGUCAAGAUAAUAAUGCCCUUUACCUGGGAAACAUAUGUAAGGGCUGGACCAAAGAUCAGGUGCUGACCACCUUAAAAAGUAUAGGAAUUCAAGACUGCGAGAUAAGUUUUCCCACUUCCAAGAGAGGAAGCAGAGGGUUUGCUUUUCUUAAAUUUGCCUCGCAUUACUAUGCCAGAGCAGCAUUUCGACGGUUAAUUAAACCAGAUGCUAUUUUUGGCACUGAUAGAAGUCCUAAAGUAUCUUUUUAUCAACCCCUCAUAAAACCAAGUGAGAAUCUUACAGAGGCUAAAAAAGUAUACCUGGAACAUGUCCCUCUUUCUUGGGAUGAGGAUAAAAUUAAAGAAUGCUGUCAACAAUAUGGGAAAAUUCUGAAAGUUGACCUUCUCCAGAUAUCAAAGAACAUGGAUAUUGAAACCUUUUCUUUUGUUGAAUUCUCAUCUAGCAAGAGUGCAUUAGCUUGUGUGGAAGGAAUAAACAAUGUGAAUAUUGUUGAUGGAGGCUUCAAGUUGUCUGCAUGUCUUGCUCGGCCUAAAAGUGGUUUAAAGGUCAAUAGUGGUGCAGCUUCAGAAGGUGCUACUACAUCUAAGAAGGAAAAAGCCCACACAGGGAAGGUUAUUGUAAAUAAGGAUUCACCACACAAAUUGUCAAAAGGCAAUAAGAAGAAGCUUACCUGUCUCCCAAAGGAGAUCCUUGUGAAGACGAAUUCACCAAGUAAAUUACCAAAUGAUUAUGAUGUAAACCUAACCUCACAAGAUGCUGCACUGCAAAUAUCCAAUCCUUCUAAAGGGAAGAGGAAAGUUGGGAAUUACAAAAAUGCCUCUGUAAACCAAAAACCAUCAAAGAAACAGGAAAAUAAUCGUAAUGUUGAUGGGAGCCAAGGAACCUCUCAACGUGCUGUAUUGAAAACAUCUAACAGUUCCAGAAGGAAAAGGAAACCUGGCAAGAACAAAAACAUCUAUAGAAAUGAAAGACCAUUGAAGAGAGCACACAACAAUAGUAAUAUGGAUGGAAGUUCGAGAUCUAAAGCAUAUGCCUCUGAUCUGGAACCUCAUGCUGGAUUCAUCCCUCCUGCAAGUCGAGUUCACAGCACCCAUGCAUAUGAUCGGCAAAGGGCCCUAGCGCCCACGUGUCCAGGCGCAGGUCGCGGCGGCGUCCAGCAGGUGGCGCUACCCUACGCUCGACGGCGUCGGAAGGACCGUGCGAGAAAAAAAAAUUGCCAGGGAAGGAACAGACGUGGACCCGUUUUGAAUAUGGAGAGUUUGGUUUGGAGAGUCUGUUGGUUUCCCAACCGUUUUGGAAGUUUUCUAUUUUUUUAGAGUCCUCCUAAAACUCUAAAUUUUGGCUAGGAUUAGACUCUUGGAGUUGCUCUAAGGUGUAUUUUUUUUCAUUAGGACAACCCUUUGACCAACAGUCAUUCUAUUGUAAUUAGUUUUUGUGACGCAAAAUUGAUGUUAUUAGAUUUGUAUUAUGAUUUUAUAUCACAUUAAUGAUAUAUUAAUUGAGUAAUUGUGGGUCAAAGUCCUGUCCUAAUAAACAAAAAUACGUCGUACAAAAAGAAAUGGAGGGAAUAAUAGCUAGGCAAGCAAAACUAUAGUUACCGGAACUGCGCAGGGAGGCCUUGAUCACCAUUCAAUUCGCGCGAACUGAAUUGCUCCUAAACGGUGGUCGGUAUGAGGGGCCUAGGCAAACCCCAAUGGACGAAGAGUGAGGGGCUUAGGAGAUCGGGGAGGGCAGCAGCAUGGAGGCUGUGAUACAUAAGAGUCGCUGUUGGGUAUGCUGCGUGGAUGCGAGAGUUGAGGUGUUGCUGGCAUUGGAAAAGAGCAUGCCGUGGCAGCUCAGUCUGCUAUCCCAAGGGAAACCAAGGGUACCAGAGAGAUGAGGCUGGUGCAGGUUAUCCAUUUUACUAAUCAUUUGCGAGAGAUGAUGGCCAGCAGUGAGGGAUUCAUGGUGGUGGCAAAGCUGCAUUUGUGGAAAGAAAAAGAAAGCGAGGAAAGAGGCGAGCUGAGCGGUGGAUGCUGCAGGUUUGGGUGCAAUGUAAGAAGAAAUGGAGAAUACGGUAUCCAGCCAAUAGAUCGUCAUCCUUAUGCUAGAGAAACUGCAGCUUCACGAGC
RNA transcript from Panicum hallii, 3055 nucleotides. It is a transcript of the gene named heterogeneous nuclear ribonucleoprotein Q-like, with no coding region annotated. The transcript has 12 exons. Lineage: Eukaryota; Viridiplantae; Streptophyta; Magnoliopsida; Poales; Poaceae. The record is from RefSeq and is a predicted model, not a curated record.